CCUACGGGCGGCAGCAGUGGGGAAUAUUGGACAAUGGGCGAAAGCCUGAUCCAGCCAUGCCGCGUGUGUGAAGAAGGCCUUCGGGUUGUAAAGCACUUUCAGUGGGGAAGAAAGCCUUGGGGCUAAUACCCUCGAGGAAGGACAUCACCCACAGAAGAAGCACCGGCUAACUCCGUGCCAGCAGCCGCGGUAAUACGGAGGGUGCGAGCGUUAAUCGGAAUUACUGGGCGUAAAGCGCGCGUAGGCGGUCUGAUAAGCCGGUUGUGAAAGCCCCGGGCGCAACCUGGGAACGGCAUCCGGAACUGUCAGGCUAGAGUGCAGGAGAGGAAGGUAGAAUUCCCGGUGUAGCGGUGAAAUGCGUAGAGAUCGGGAGGAAUACCAGUGGCGAAGGCGGCCUUCUGGACUGACACUGACGCUGAGGUGCGAAAGCGUGGGUAGCAAACAGGAUUAGAUACCCCUGUAGUC
RNAcentral lists this ribosomal RNA (465 nucleotides) under Vreelandella stevensii. Its description in RNAcentral is "partial 16S ribosomal RNA". It matches the Rfam family "Bacterial small subunit ribosomal RNA", at positions 338 to 795 of the family's 1533-position model. Lineage: Bacteria; Pseudomonadati; Pseudomonadota; Gammaproteobacteria; Oceanospirillales; Halomonadaceae. The record is from RNAcentral.